UAACACAUGCAAGUCGAGGGGUAACAUAGAAAAGCUUGCUUUUCUGAUGACGACCGGCGCACGGGUGCGUAACGCGUAUACAACCUACCUUUUAGCGGGGAAUAGCCCAGGGAAACUUGGAUUAAUGCCCCAUAGUAUAUAGACUUCUCCUGAAGUUUAUAUUAAACAUUUAUGGCUAUUAGAUGGGUAUGCGUCCUAUUAGUUAGUUGGUAAGGUAACGGCUUACCAAGGCAGCGAUAGGUAGGGGUCCUGAGAGGGAGAUCCCCACACUGGUACUGAGACACGGACCAGACUCCUACGGGAGGCAGCAGUGAGGAAUAUUGGACAAUGGGCGAGAGCCUGAUCCAGCCAUGCCGCGUGCAGGAAGACUGCCCUAUGGGUUGUAAACUGCUUUUACAGAGGAAGAACCACCCCCACGUGUGGGGGUUUGACGGUACUCUGCGAAUAAGGAUCGGCUAACUCCGUG
This 466-nucleotide ribosomal RNA is filed under the name uncultured bacterium. Its description in RNAcentral is "bacterial SSU rRNA". It matches the Rfam family "Bacterial small subunit ribosomal RNA", at positions 49 to 507 of the family's 1533-position model. The record is from RNAcentral.